This 305-nucleotide ribosomal RNA is filed under the name uncultured bacterium. RNAcentral's name for it is "bacterial SSU rRNA". It matches the Rfam family "Bacterial small subunit ribosomal RNA", at positions 337 to 639 of the family's 1533-position model. The record is from RNAcentral.
UCCUACGGGGCGCAGCAGUGAGGAAUAUUGGUCAAUGGCCGAGAGGCUGAACCAGCCAAGUCGCGUGAGGGAUGACGGCCCUACGGGUUGUAAACCUCUUUUGUCGGGGAGCAAGACCCGCCUCGUGCAGGCGGAGCGAGAGUACCCGAAGAAAAAGCAUCGGCUAACUCCGUGCCAGCAGCCGCGGUAAUACGGAGGAUGCGAGCGUUAUCCGGAUUUAUUGGGUUUAAAGGGUGCGUAGGCGGUCCGGAAAGUCAGCGGUAAAAGCCCGGGGCUCAACCCCGGCGAGCCGUUGAAACUGUCGG